AAAGAGGAAAAAAUAUGUUGGACUCCAUCUGCAGCUCAUUGUAUUGAUUUAAUUCUUGAGGAUUUUGAAAAGAAAAUUAAGAUGCAUCAGACAACAAUUACAAAGGGCAGAAAAAUCAACACCUAUAAUUAUUCUAGAACAAUGGUUCUUACUUGGUUGAGAGAAUUCACUGGAGGGGAGGAUUUGGUUAGGCCAGCAGUGACAAAAUUUGCUACUGCCUAUUUGACUUUGGGUUGUCUGCAUGAGCACAAGGGCGCAUUGAUCAAUAUGUUCACUUCAACAAAGUGGAGCGGUAGUAGAUUUAAUUCUGCAGAAGGGAAGGUCGUUCAAGGAAUUGUUUUGGAUAUCCGUGGGGUUUGGCCUAAUGUUGCCACAUGUCUGAAGGCUGCACUCCCAAUUAUAAAAGUUCUUCGAUUGGUUGAUUCAGAUGAGAAGCCAGCAAUGCCGUUCAUCUAUGAUGAGAUUGAUCGUGCAAAAGAGAAAAUAAAACAAAAUUUUAACAAUGUCAAGAGAAGGUACGUUUCUGUAUUGACUUAG
This 537-nucleotide ribosomal RNA is filed under the name Triticum aestivum (bread wheat). Its description in RNAcentral is "partial small subunit ribosomal RNA". Lineage: Eukaryota; Viridiplantae; Streptophyta; Magnoliopsida; Poales; Poaceae. The record is from RNAcentral.